This 468-nucleotide ribosomal RNA is filed under the name uncultured bacterium. RNAcentral's name for it is "partial 16S ribosomal RNA". It matches the Rfam family "Bacterial small subunit ribosomal RNA", at positions 28 to 507 of the family's 1533-position model. The record is from RNAcentral.
GACGAACGCUGGCGGCGUGCUUAACACAUGCAAGUCGAACGGAAAGGCCCUGCUUUUGUGGGGUGCUCGAGUGGCGAACGGGUGAGUAACACGUGAGUAACCUGCCCUUGACUUUGGGAUAACUUCAGGAAACUGGGGCUAAUACCGGAUAGGAGCUCCUGCUGCAUGGUGGGGGUUGGAAAGUUUCGGCGGUUGGGGAUGGACUCGCGGCUUAUCAGCUUGUUGGUGGGGUAGUGGCUUACCAAGGCUUUGACGGGUAGCCGGCCUGAGAGGGUGACCGGCCAAAUUGGGACUGAGCUACGGCCCAGACUCCUACGGGAGACAGCAGUGGGGAAUAUUGCACAAUGGGCGGAAGCCUGAUGCAGCAACGCCGCGUGCGGGAUGACGGCCUUCGGGUUGUAAACCGCUUUCGCCUGUGACGAAGCGUGAGUGACGGUAAUGGGUAAAGAAGCACCGGCUAACUACGUG